UCAUUUUCCUCCUCUCAAUAUGGGAGUGAAAUCAUCUUUUUAUAUCACGUGAUGGGACAGAUUAUGGAAAGUCAGAAGUAUCUUAACACUGAACUGUAAGUUUUGCUAUUAAGAAUGCCUGAUAAUAAACUUGAUCUGAAUGAGAUUCUAAAGCGUGGAGUAAUCUGCAUGCCCCAGCGAGCCUAAAACGCUCAAGGCAGAAGAAUAAAAAGAUAAUGUCACUUUGAACUCCCCUCAAGUGAAAAACUGUUAUUUUUGCAACCAAACUUCGUUUGAGUGAGAAGAAAACUAAAACUUAUCCUUGCUAAAGAAAGACUGUGUUUGUGUGAGAAGUGCAAAGCCUCUCUUGCAGAGAACAGAUUCUGUCAGCGAUAAAAGCAUGCUUCCUCUCUCCCUGUUCGCCUUUUUUCCGUUUAAUUGCGCUCCGGGGGGAGGGGGACCCAGAAAUCGCAUGACAAAGCAGCCCCCUCCCCAACCUAUUCAGUCCAAUCUGCUGUUGUUAAGGCCAAAGACUUUGCAAAGAAAGAAAAACCUGUUUCAGUAAAUCAAAGCAAAUUCCAAGCCUUACUGCUUAAGUGGUUGUAAAAGCCUCAUGGAAAGGUCUCCAUGGAAACGGAAUUUGAAUAAGAAAGCAGUCAGCUAGCCCAGAUCUUUAUAUGAGAAUCUGACUUCCCAAGUCCUUUGAACUUACUUGAUAAGUUGUUCUGGCAAGGAAGGGCAGUAAAGAGGCCCCAACCAUCCCUGGCAUCAUUUUACUUUGUGUGUGCAGAGCCAUCUGGCAGUCAAAUGGUCAUAAGGCCGAUGCCUCAUGACCAUUUGACUGGAGAGUUAGCUUUACAACCCUCAACAAGAAAAAUGCCAUUAUCAGUUACUGGUCAUUAGUCACAAACUGCAUCCUAUUGUGGCUCUUCUACAAAGUACAAUCCAGUAUUUCAAGCUAACGCUUGCAACGCACCUUAGUGGCCAAAAGGUGAACUGCACCUGCAUCUACAAAGCCUUGCAACACACCUUAGCGGCCAAAAGGUGAAGUGCGCCUGCAUCUACAAAGCCUUGCAACACACCUUAGUGGCCAAAAGGUGAACUGCGCCUGCAUCUACAGAGUCUUGCAAUGCACCCUAGUGACCAUCAAGUGAAUUGUGCUGCAUCUCCACAGUCUUGAAACGCACCCUAGUGGCCAAAAAGUGAAUUAAACUCAAAAUUCAUAAUACAUUCAGGAAAUUUCCUGUGCUAAUCCUAGUUAUAGAAUCUUCUCUAGCCAUGACAGAGGGGUCAGAUAUGCCGAACCCCAUGCCUGACUCUGACACAGACUCAGAAUUGGUUAUCCAAAACUCAGAAUUGGACAUCCAACUUUCAGAAAAGGCAGAGGCACCUCAGACAGCCUAUGACCUGAAGCAAAAUAGAAAGUCUAUGCAGACUAAGCGGUCGAACCUCUUAGAGGAUUGGGAAAGGUUUUAUCAAAAGCAUGAGAAAUGCUGGAAGAAGUUGCAGCAGUUCUACGUCAAACUCAAAGAGGAGUUGCCCCCCAAACACCUGCAUACAUUGGACGAGGACAUGGAUGAAAUAUUCAUACAACGGACAGUUUAUGGAGACUGCCUCAACAACAUCCAGUUACAACUAAAUGAUGAUGAAUUCCAGAAGAACAUGCUGUGUUUCCGGACGUUAAACAAAGAAUGUAAAAAGCAAUUUCAAAGCAGAAAGACUUUAUCCAAACCAGUCUGAAGAGGGAGACUGCAUUGAACAAGAAGGCUGAAUCUGAAGUGUCCCAUUGUUCGCAUACACCAUCUCAGCGGUCGCAUAUGAUUUCCUGACAUGCUUCUAAGAAAGCAUCCUCAUCUAGUUCCAAGGAUACACCAGGACAGAAGGCUGCAUCUUAUCGUUCGCAUGCACCAUCUCAGCGGUCACGCGCAACAUCCUCCCAUGUCUCCAAUAAAGCUUCAUCCCUCUACCAAAGCCAACCUGAUUUUGAAUGGACACCAGCAUCUCACAGCAAUCUUCCCAUCACAGCCAGAUAUCACAGGCAUCUAGAAUUGCAGAAGCACAAGUUGAAGCUGAGAUAGCCAAGGAAGAUCUAGAAGUAGCAAGGGAAGAGCAAUUGCUGAAGGAAGAGAUGACAGCUGCGAAAGCCAAAGCUCGGGAAGAGAUAGCAGCUGCAAAAGCAGUUGUGAACCUCCAUAAUGCCAAAGCUCAGGCUGAACUUGAAUUUCUUCAGCACAAGUGGGAAGCUAUGGAAAAAAAUGAUAAGGGCCAAAGCUAACUGCGCCUCCCUCAAUUCCAGUCCUAGGAAGAUGGAAAAAGAUAAUCUGAACAAGCAUAUCAAGGCCUACGUGUACGACCCAAAUUUGCCACAACAGGAACAAGGAAGAGAAUCUCAACCACCAGAUCUAUAAACUAGUCAGACAGCUGAUAUUAUACGAUCUGGAUCACGAAACUCCUUCUUUGGAAUUAGAAAACUUACCCUGACAUACCUAGAAACAUGAGAUGAUCAUGGUAGUCCAUCAGCAACAGUGAAGGAUCUUCAGCAGGCAGGCACACAAGGGGCCACGGUUCACAGCCUCAAUGUGGAGGUGAAGGAAUCCUUGCCAGAUCUUCAAAGCAACUUGAGCGUGGACAUACGGCACAAUGAAUGCGGUCAGCCAGGUACCCUGCAUCCAGACUCUAAGUUGCCACAACAGACAACUCCUAACCCUCAUCUGGCCAAGGAACAUGGCCGGCAUGGUACCAAAGUGCACCCAGAGGCAGUUGCAAGUGUCAAUUGCACAUCAGUAUGUGGUGACUCACCAUCCCUUCACUUAUACCAACCGAUCUGCUUAGCAAAAGUCUACCACAAUGGGCGUCUAGAAGAAUCCAGGAAGAUGCAUGAAAUAGUAGACACAGAAAGCAAUCAAUCAUUAGCCAGGUCAGAUUCUUUGACCUCUUUGAUGUCCAAAGUGCAGAGACAUAAUUCAUGAUAUCAACGUGCACUGGGUCUCAGCACACGACAGGGAGGAAAGUUGAUGGACUCUGCAUAGAAUCGUUGGAUGGGAGUGCACAGUUCCCAUUGUCGCCAUUGCUACAAUGGGACGACUUACCAGAUGAUCGCAGUCAGAAUGUAGCACCAGAGGUAGUAAGCACCAUACCUCACAUGAGGCACAUGGCUAAUCACUUUCCUGCUCUAGAUCCCAAAGCCGAAAUUCUGCUCUUGCUGGGAGCAGACACCUCCGAUGCUUUCACCCCCCUUCAAGAAGUGGUCAAAAGCCCAAGGGGCCUCCCAUUCACCCUCAAGACAGAAUUCAUAAGAGGCAUCUUUGGGAUGGUUUGUGUCAAUUGGCCGCAGGUCCCAACCCAGGCGAAUGUCUUUGUGACCUCCACUCUCAGUAAUGGGGGAGCAUCCCAAUCGAGACUGUGUCAAAAACACUUUAUGACUUCGACAAACAACCCUGAUUUAGAAGCAACAGUGUUCCAGACCAGCAAAGAAAACAAUGACUUGGCCUUGUCGACAGAGGACAAAGAUUUUCUGUAGCUCAUGGAGAAAGAGCUUCAGCAGGACGUCUCCAGGAGCUGAGUAGUCCCAUUACCCUUUCGCAUAACCAGGCAGCGCCUGCAGAACAACCACGAGCAAGCUCUCUCUCAUCUCUUCAGUCUGAGACGACUAAUGAACAGGAAGCCUGCAGUGAAAGCUCAUCUAGUGGGGUUCAUGAAUAAGAUGGUCCAGAACUUGCACCACCUCUGAGAAAUGAUGAGGAAUGCUGGUACAUGCUAUUUUUGGGGGUGUACCACCCACAAGAGCCAGGCAGAGUCGACUAGUCUUUGAUGCCAGCAUGCAACUCCAAGGCUUCUCCCUGAAUGAAGUUCUUCUCACAGGAACUGAUCUCACCAACAGCCUGCCAGGUGUACUCAACCGCUUCAGAAAGGAAGCCAUCACCACCAUAAUCGACAUAUGUUCCAUUCAUUCCUUGUUAGAGAAGACCAUCAAAACUACCUACAUUUCAUGUGGUCCAGUUACAAACAGCACAACCAACAGAAACAAGAAUGGGAGAUGUGUUGUCUCCCUGAGUUGUCUUUAAAGUAUUCGUGUGCAGUGCACGUACAUUCCCAUCUGGCCUGUCACCACACUGAAGAAAGAACUGCAUGUCUUCUCAGAUGCAUCAAUGAAGGCAAUAGCAGCUGUAGGAUAUAUCAGGGUCUAUGAUGGGGAGAACGACAUUCAUGUUGAUUCCGUCAUGGGAAAGGCGAAACUAGCACCGUAACUAACCCUCAACCAGUCCUGAGAAUCAGCUCACUUUAAACGCUUCUCCAGACAGAGACUUCUCAUGUUGGGCAUAGCAGUGAUCAUUCUCAUUUCCCUCUUGGCAGAGGUGGCUCGACCCUUGGUUCCAGUGUCUUCGGAUCUUGAAAACCCUACUAUCCUCACCCCAGCCGCCUUGCUGACCCAGAAGACAGGUGACCAGCACCAGCAGGGAACUUCAUUCCCAAAGACAUGUAUUGGAACUCAUGGCCUAAGGGACUUUUGUCCAUUGGAAUGCAUGGCCUAUGGGUCUUGUGUCACAAGUCCUACCCAGUGAUGAUGAACUAAUCUGCCAGGUUGAAGUUCAAGUCGCAAAGCCGCUGGAGUCAUGUCAUGACCAGCAGACUUGUGCCAAGAAGCUCUACACCAGACUAAUCACUGCUGCUAAAGAAGACCAAACUAGAAUAUUGAACCUCAAGCUUUGCAUGCUUUGUGUUUGCCUCACUGUUUGCAUUAUUUGAUGCUAUGCUUUUGUGUAACUCAGUUAAUUAGUUAGUUAAGUUUGCAUGUUUGAUGUUAUGCCUUUGUUUAUCUUAGUUAAUUAGAUAGUCAAGUUUGCAUUGUUUUAUGACAUGCCUUUGUUUACCUUUAGUUAAAAGUUAGUUGAUAAUGGAAUUUCUAAUUCUAGGCGGGAAGUGUACUGCCCCAGCAAUAUAUAUAGAUAUAGAAUUAAGAACUGUCUCCUUUAAUAAACUGUCUCCUGGGAAAUGUCGGCAGAGACUGCCUUAUGGGAAAUGUAGUUCCAUGACAUGUGAUCAUAACUGUGCUUCUGAUUGGCCACUGGGGCAUCCUGCCUGUGUGCAGAACAAAAGCCAGUCAUUUUCCUCCUCUCAAUAUGGAAGUGAAAUCAUCUUUUUAUAUCACGUGAUGGGACAGAUUAUGGAAAGUCAGAAGUAUCUUAACACUGAACUACCCGGUGGCCUCUCCAAAAACAAAAACCUGUUGUAGGCAGCAACCAAGGGAGGAGUUAAUGCAUGGUUGCAUUGGAACUGCCUGUUAGAAAAUGGCUCCGGCUCGGUUAUGCCACUUAUUGUCUCCUAACACCCAAGCUUCCUGAAAUCUGCGACAUGCUCCAACCCUCCAUAGGGACGAAGCUGCUGGUGGAUCUCAUGUGCUAAAGGCACAGAUACAGCCAACUGCGGGAAAAGAUACAUCUGGCACAGAUACAUCUGGUACAUCCAGAGGAUCUUGGCUACUUAUUGUUAAUUGGCAGGAGUGAACUUGUAAUUUGAAUUGGAGGAUUUGUAUGAAAACCUAAUUCUGUAUCUGUUCAUCACUGCUUGGAGCCUAAGAAAUUUGCAAGGUGGUAUCCAUGCCGAAUAUGUAUUAAACACAGGUUUUCCUACACAGACUACUCUGCGGGGUUAGCUGAUCUGCAGGAUAUUAGAUGAACUUGGAAAAUAAACUUGGAAAAAAAAUCAUGAUUCUGUUAA
This is a non-coding RNA of Thamnophis sirtalis, 5697 nucleotides long. The record is from RefSeq and is a predicted model, not a curated record. NCBI's taxonomy places the organism in Eukaryota, Metazoa, Chordata, Lepidosauria, Squamata, Natricidae.